ACUCCUACGGGAGGCAGCAGUAGGGGAUAUUGGACAAUGGGGGCAACCCUGAUCCAGCCAUGCCGCGUGCGGGAAGAAGGCCUUCGGGUUGUAAACCGCUUUUGGUCGGGAAGAAAAGGUUCUCCCUAAUACGGGGGACUGUUGACGGUACCGGCAGAAUAAGCACCGGCUAACUACGUGCCAGCAGCCGCGGUAAUACGUAGGGUGCGAGCGUUAAUCGGAAUUACUGGGCGUAAAGCGUGCGCAGGCGGUAAGUUAAGUCUGAUGUGAAAGCCCCGGGCUCAACCUGGGAAUGGCAUUGGAAACUGGCUUGCUAGAGUGUGGCAGAGGGGGGUGGAAUUCCGCGUGUAGCAGUGAAAUGCGUAGAGAUGCGGAGGAACACCGAUGGCGAAGGCAGCCCCCUGGGCCAACACUGACGCUCAGGCACGAAAGCGUGGGGAGCAAACAGGAUUAGAUACCCUGGUAGUCCACGCCCUAAACGAUGCCAACUGGGUGUUGGGGAAGCGAUUCCUUGGUACCGUAGCUAACGCGUGAAGUUGACCGCCUGGGGAGUACGGCCGCAAGGUUAAAACUCAAAUGAAUUGACGG
RNAcentral lists this ribosomal RNA (588 nucleotides) under uncultured Burkholderiaceae bacterium. RNAcentral's name for it is "bacterial SSU rRNA". It matches the Rfam family "Bacterial small subunit ribosomal RNA", at positions 335 to 916 of the family's 1533-position model. The record is from RNAcentral. Lineage: Bacteria; Pseudomonadati; Pseudomonadota; Betaproteobacteria; Burkholderiales; Burkholderiaceae.